Molecule: long non-coding RNA, 213 nt
Filed under: Lathyrus oleraceus (garden pea)
Lineage: Eukaryota; Viridiplantae; Streptophyta; Magnoliopsida; Fabales; Fabaceae
Description: Pisum sativum (pea) long non-coding RNA (PSAT_LNC002442)
Source: RNAcentral
UUUUGAAUCAACUAACUUUGUGAGGAGUGAUCCUUAGUUAACCCCUUUGAGCUUGUUUUAGGAUUCAUUUGAUUGAUAAGUGUAAAUUCCAUUGAAAAUUUUGCAAAUAAAUGAAUCCUAAUUUCUUUCGUUUCAAUUGAACCUUCAACCGAGUUUGUUUGCAAAUUUUGUCUUUUGCCUAUGUCUAAGUAGGGAGCAUUAUUGAAUAAAUUU